AACUAACAAGGAUUCCCCUAGUAACUGCGAGUGAAGCGGGAAAAGCUCAAAUUUAAAAUCUGUCAGCCUUUGGCUGUCCGAGUUGUAAUCUAGAGAAGUGUUAUCCGCGCUGGACCGUGUACAAGUCUCCUGGAAUGGAGCGUCAUAGAGGGUGAGAAUCCCGUCUUUGACACGGACUGCCAGGGCUUUGUGAUGCGCUCUCAAAGAGUCGAGUUGUUUGGGAAUGCAGCUCAAAAUGGGUGGUAAAUUCCAUCUAAAGCUAAAUAUUGGCGAGAGACCGAUAGCGAACAAGUACCGUGAGGGAAAGAUGAAAAGAACUUUGGAAAGAGAGUUAAACAGUACGUGAAAUUGCUGAAAGGGAAACGCUUGAAGUCAGUCGCGUUGUCCAGGGAUCAACCUUGCUUUUGCUUGGUGUACUUUCUGGUUAACGGGUCAGCAUCAAUUUUGACUGUUGGAAAAAGAUCAGGGGAAUGUGGCAUCUUCGGAUGUGUUAUAGCCCUUGGUUGCAUACAAUGGUUGGGAUUGAGGAACUCAGCACGCCGCAAGGCCGGGUUUUAACCACGUACGUGCUUAGGAUGCUGGCAUAAUGGCUUUAAUCGACCCGUCUUGAAACACGGACCAAGGAGUCUAACAUGCCUGCGAGUGUUUGGGUGGAAAACCCGAGCGCGUAAUGAAAGUGAAAGUUGAGAUCCUUGUCAUGGGGAGCAUCGACGCCCGGACCAGACCUUUUGUGACGGUUCCGCGGUAGAGCAUGUAUGUUGGGACCCGAAAGAUGGUGAACUAUGCCUGAAUAGGGUGAAGCCAGAGGAAACUCUGGUGGAGGCUCGUAGCGAUUCUGACGUGCAAAUCGAUCGUCAAAUUUGGGUAUAGGGGCGAAAGACUAAUU
This 886-nucleotide ribosomal RNA is filed under the name Cortinarius porphyroideus. RNAcentral's name for it is "eukaryotic LSU rRNA". It matches the Rfam family "Eukaryotic large subunit ribosomal RNA", at positions 63 to 936 of the family's 3401-position model. Lineage: Eukaryota; Fungi; Basidiomycota; Agaricomycetes; Agaricales; Cortinariaceae. The record is from RNAcentral.